GCGGGAUUAGUUCAUUGGUAGAACGCCAGGUUCCCAAUCUGGAGAGACGGGUUCGAUUCCCGUAUCCCGCU
RNAcentral lists this transfer RNA (71 nucleotides) under Actinomycetes bacterium. RNAcentral's name for it is "tRNA-Gly". It matches the Rfam family "tRNA". From Rfam's summary of the family: Transfer RNA (tRNA) molecules are approximately 80 nucleotides in length. Their secondary structure includes four short double-helical elements and three loops (D, anti-codon, and T loops). RNAcentral also lists the same sequence under 3 other names. Lineage: Bacteria; Bacillati; Actinomycetota; Actinomycetes. The record is from RNAcentral.